CAGACAUUGACCUGUGUCUUUGUUCCUCUCUUUAGGAAACAAACACAUUACUGCAUGCUGUAGUUUAGUUAACUGAGUAACUGACUGUCGCUGCAUGAUUUCUGUUUGUAUUGUUUACGUCCCAGAACAGAGUUUUUGACGCUGCAUUUAUAUAAUGAUUUCUAAGCAUACAAUCGAUAUAGGAUCAUUAAGUUUGGCCUUUCAUAAUUGGUGAGAACACUGCAUAUAUGAUACAAUAUAUCAGAUGAGCCAUGUAGCACGGGAUACUUAUAUUAACCGUUCUCGUUUCUCUUCCCUUGCAAAUUGUAAGUGUGACAAACUUCCUUCUCCGUUAACAUUUUGAAGUGUGACAGCUCAGUUUAGGUUUAAAUUAGAAUGAUCCUUUUUUAUAUAUAGAUGUGAAUCAUUCUACACAUUUUGUCGAUAGUAGUAUAAUAGUCGUGAGGUUCAUUCCGUAGAGCAUAUAUGAGGAAACCCUCAUUCAUUUUUUUAUAGCUCAAACCUACAAUGUUGACAACUUUGCAGAUUCUUACUAUACAAACUAAAGGUCCGCAAAGCUUUAUGUGUGGUCCGUGUCUAUCUGGUUGAGACAGUUGAACUCUGCAUCAAACUUGUAAUAUGUACCGUCUCUGGUGAAGGAUAAUUUACACACCUCUAGUGGUAGAAGAUGUCGAGGUUAUUGCUGCGCUGGACAUUGCAAAAUGCCUCCAUGAUGCAAUAUCAGGGAUGGAUAAGGCUGCAGAACAAGGAAAUGCCGUCAGGCAGGUAGAGCUCUCGGAUUGUUUGAUCAUAUGGGGAGAAGCAAAGCUAAGCCUAACAGUGUUACCCUCAUCUGGGUGUUGACUGCAUAUUGCCAUGGUGACUUGGUUGAUGGAGCGCGAGAAGUCAAUUGCGAGUGCUAGUUAGCCUAGUAUGGUUGGUUCUUUUCAUUGUCUUAGCUCUGAUGGAUUGGAAUAAUUUUAACUAGUUAGCGAUGCAAGUUAAUCCAUCAACAACCAUUACUGACUUGCAAGUUUACCAUCGUAAGAUACAUGUAUGGAAAUAUUGAUGUAAAUAUCAGCGGAGCACUACAAGUUCAAGGACGUAGUGUUGUCUACCAAAAGUUAAAAAUUCAGACUUCCCUUGAUUCCUUGUACUAUGAACAUAAAAUCACUUUGUACUUUUGAUGAAAUUACAGUAAUAGCUCAUUUACUGUAUGUAAUGCUACUUUGGUCUC
Lolium rigidum is the source of this 1216-nucleotide long non-coding RNA. RefSeq lists it as uncharacterized. The record is from RefSeq and is a predicted model, not a curated record. The transcript is spliced from 2 exons. Lineage: Eukaryota; Viridiplantae; Streptophyta; Magnoliopsida; Poales; Poaceae.